RNAcentral lists this ribosomal RNA (393 nucleotides) under Shouchella clausii. RNAcentral describes it as "bacterial LSU rRNA". It matches the Rfam family "Bacterial large subunit ribosomal RNA", at positions 1946 to 2338 of the family's 2925-position model. The record is from RNAcentral. Lineage: Bacteria; Bacillati; Bacillota; Bacilli; Caryophanales; Bacillaceae.
CGGUCCUAAGGUAGCGAAAUUCCUUGUCGGGUAAGUUCCGACCCGCACGAAUGGUGCAACGACUUGGAUACUGUCUCAACGAGAGACCCGGUGAAAUUAUAGUACCUGUGAAGAUGCAGGUUACCCGCGACAGGACGGAAAGACCCCAUGGAGCUUUACUGUAGCUUGAUAGUGAGUGUUGGUAUCAUCUGUACAGGAUAGGUAGGAGCCUUGGAAACCGGAGCGCUAGCUUCGGUGGAGGCGUCGGUGGGAUACUACCCUGAUGGUGCUGGCAUUCUAACCUCGACCCGUGAUCCGGGCCAGGGACAUUGUCAGGUGGGCAGUUUGACUGGGGCGGUCGCCUCCUAAACAGUAACGGAGGCGCCCAAAGGUUCCCUCAGAAUGGUUGGAAAU